Long non-coding RNA from Venturia canescens, 925 nucleotides. RefSeq lists it as uncharacterized. The record is from RefSeq and is a predicted model, not a curated record. The transcript has 2 exons. NCBI's taxonomy places the organism in Eukaryota, Metazoa, Arthropoda, Insecta, Hymenoptera, Ichneumonidae.
UUUCGAUGAUAUAUUACGUGCGCACCGUUCCAUCGCGAUUACGGACUUAAUAUUUUACGAUAUGUGAAUGUGCCCACGUCCAUUCGCGUGUGAGCGUCACAAAACGUAAUAUGUUACAAACUCGGAGUUGCUCGCUGCGAUAUAUAUUUUCGAAAAGUAGAAUACAGUGUAUACGUGUUUUGUGGAAUAGCGCAAUACGUGCUACGGGGAAAAGCCUGAGCUAUGCUGCAGCAGAGAAACAAGAAUGGAGUAUAGAUAUACGAAUAUUUGUGUGUACCUGCAUUUUCGAUUUAUUCUCGAAGGAGUAGCAUGAGUUAUGUCGAGAUAUGGACCCUGGGGAGUGGGCACGUUCGCAGCACCGACAUUGGAGUGCAUCUAGAAGCUAAGCUCACGUAUAUAGAUGGGAGGGAAUAGAUUACAAGAGGGAAAAGGAAAGGUGAAUGGCUCACACAUUGAAGAAAGGUUGGAUGCGGUGCAUGCAAAGUAAGAUAGCGAGGGGAACAGAGGCAGGAGAGAUGGAGCAGAAAAGCUUCUUGUACAAUAUGUUCAAACGAUCUAAAGACUCAACGUUCUCUCUUACAACACUAACGUUAUCGACCUUUGAGGCGUAUGGAGGAGCACAAAAACCCCGAAUCUUGACCCGGAAAUGGAGAGCCUUUAUAUAGCCUAAAGGGUUACAAGGCUCGUCAUUUUCACCCACCAGCAUCAUUUCUCUUGUAUUAUCUUUGUUCUUUUUUAUUUAUGUGACCACGUACCAUCGAUUUUCCAUUUACUGUGUGGAUUAGCCUCGUAUAUAAUGUACAUUCAAUCUCAUUCAAGUCUCUCCUCUCCUUUUGGGAGAUUACCUCUUAUCGUCAAGCUGCCUUUCUUGCACAAUAUUUACUCGCCACUGAAUAACGAAGGGUUUUACGUUGUGCAUUUUUUU